Seinonella peptonophila is the source of this 136-nucleotide non-coding RNA. The record is from Rfam. Lineage: Bacteria; Bacillati; Bacillota; Bacilli; Caryophanales; Thermoactinomycetaceae.
UAAGCAAAUAGUGUAAAGCCGUAGACAGUAGGUGUGAGUUUUCACAUAAAUCCUACCGAGGUGAAGUGUGAUACACAUGGGCGAAGUGUGUAUGUAAGGCCUUCAUAUGUCUACGAAGGCUUUUUUCUAUUUUAUC